This 231-nucleotide ribosomal RNA is filed under the name uncultured bacterium. RNAcentral describes it as "partial 16S ribosomal RNA". It matches the Rfam family "Bacterial small subunit ribosomal RNA", at positions 337 to 582 of the family's 1533-position model. The record is from RNAcentral.
GCCUAUGGGGGGCAGCAGUGGGGAAUAUUGGGCAAUGGGCGCAAGCCUGACCCAGCAACGCCGCGUGAAGGAAGAAGGCUUUCGGGUUGUAAACUUCUUUUCUCAGGGACGAAGAAAGAGACGGUACCUGAGGAAUAAGCCACGGCUAACUACGUGCCAGCAGCCGAGGUAAUACGUAGGUGGCAAGCGUUAUCCGGCUUUACUGGGUGUAAAGGGCGUGUAGGCGGGACU